UGCUAGUCGAGCGCUUCAAGCCAAAAAGAGGCGCGGCAUACAGCUCAGUAACACGUGGCUAAUCUGCCCUUGGGAUAGGAAUAACCCCGGGAAACUGGGGCUAAUUCCCAAUAGGCGAAGAACUCUGGAAUGAGUCUUUACCAGAAAAGACGCUUGCGUUAUGCUCGUAGGCGUCGCCCAAGGAUGAGGCCGCGACCGAUCAGGUUGUUGGUGAGGUAAUGGCUCACCAAGCCUUUUACCGGUGCGGGCCGUGAGAGCGGGAGCCCGGAGAUGGGCACUGAGACAAGGGCCCAGGCCCUACGGGGCGCAGCAGUCGCGAAAACUUUGCAAUAAGCGAAAGCUUGACAGGGCUAUCCCGAGUGCCAUCCGCUGAGGAAGGCUUUUACCCAGUCUAGAACGCUGGGGGAAUAAGGAGAGGGCAAGUCUGGUGUCAGCCGCCGCGGUAAUACCAGCUCUCCGAGUGGUGUGGAUGUUUAUUGGGCCUAAAGCAUCCGUAGCUGGCUAAGUUAGUCCCUUGUUAAAUCCACCGAAUUAAUCGUUGGAUUGCGGGGGAUACUGCUUGGCUAGGGGACGAGAGAGGCAGACGGUAUUUCCGGGGUAGGGGUGAAAUCCUAUAAUCCCGGGAAGACCACCAGUGGCGAAGGCUGUCUGCUAGAACGCGCCCGACGGUGAGGGAUGAAAGCUGGGGGAGCGAACCGGAUUAGAUACCCGGGUAGUCCCAGCUGUAAACGAUGCAGCUAGGUGUUUGGACGGCCACGUGCCGUUCUAGUGCCGCAGGAAAGCUGUUAAGCCUGCCGCCUGGGGAGUACGAUCGCAAGAUUGAAACUUAA
Molecule: ribosomal RNA, 830 nt
Filed under: uncultured crenarchaeote
Lineage: Archaea; Thermoproteati; Thermoproteota
Description: bacterial SSU rRNA
Rfam family: Archaeal small subunit ribosomal RNA
Source: RNAcentral